Molecule: non-coding RNA, 97 nt
Organism: Listeria welshimeri serovar 6b str. SLCC5334
Lineage: Bacteria; Bacillati; Bacillota; Bacilli; Caryophanales; Listeriaceae
Source: Rfam
UCUUAUAAACAAAUAUCCUUAUUCAGGAAUGUUACCUAAUUUGGGCAUAACCUAGAUAAAACGAAAAUUGGCUUUUGGGGCUGUUUUUUCGAUUUAU